ACAACCGAACAGUCCCCUGGCGGGGGAAGCCGGUGCGAAUCCGGCGCUGACCCGCAACCGUGAGUGGCCGCGCGCCACGAGUCGGAAUGCCCGCCCGGGAACACGAACAACC
RNAcentral lists this non-coding RNA (112 nucleotides) under Actinokineospora spheciospongiae. Lineage: Bacteria; Bacillati; Actinomycetota; Actinomycetes; Pseudonocardiales; Pseudonocardiaceae. The record is from RNAcentral.